This 316-nucleotide ribosomal RNA is filed under the name uncultured prokaryote. Its description in RNAcentral is "bacterial SSU rRNA". It matches the Rfam family "Bacterial small subunit ribosomal RNA", at positions 355 to 666 of the family's 1533-position model. The record is from RNAcentral.
CAACGAAUAUUCCGCAAUGGGCGAAAGCCUGACGGAGCGACGCCGCGUGAAGGAUGAAGUCCCUUCGGGAUGUAAACUUCAAUAGUACGCCAGGAACCAAUCCUGGCUAAUACUCAGGAAAGUUGACCAGCGUACGAAAGAGGCGGCUAACUCCGUGCCAGCAGCCGCGGUAAUACGGAGGCAUCGAGCGUUGUUCGGAAUCACUGGGCUUAAAGCGCGUGUAGGCGGAACGGUAAGUACUUUGUGAAAUCCCCGGCUUCAAUCCGGGAACUGCUUGGUAUACUGCCGUUCUUGAGGGAGGUAGGGGUCACUGGAA